RNAcentral lists this long non-coding RNA (1473 nucleotides) under Junco hyemalis (dark-eyed junco). RNAcentral's name for it is "lncRNA (ENSJHYG00000006532.1)". The record is from RNAcentral. Lineage: Eukaryota; Metazoa; Chordata; Aves; Passeriformes; Passerellidae.
GCAGGAAAUCCCAAAUCCCAGAUCAGUUCCAUGUCUGUAACUUCAAGUGCAACAUCUUUAAAACCAAGUGCUCAGUGUGGGCUUUCCACGUGGAUGCAAAUGGUCAAAGGCCUUUCUUGUGUCCCAAAAGCAAAAACCCUUUCUCUGUGAGGUUUUGGAGGGGAUUCUCUUUGGGAUUUUUGUGAUGCAGCAUCCCAGGUGUCCCUGCCUUUGUGCCAAGUCCAGUGGUAAAGGAUGGAAUGGCUGACACGUGGGGUCUGGGAUAAAAAUGGUUCUGUGAAAUUGGGCAGAGAAUGCAGUAUGGAAAAUGAGCUUCCUUUUAAUGUCUGAAAUAGUCAGGAAUAAAAAUGCUGGGAAAGGACACGUUUGUGUUUGAAUUGGUGUCACCUGUCAUGGGUAAAACCCCUAGGGAGCAAUCAGGGCAGAAGUAGGAGUGUGACCGUGGUCACAAGGGCUUUGCAGGUGAAGAGAGGCGAGAAUGUUGAUCCAUGUUCACAAGAAUUGAUUUAUUAUUUUAUGAUAUAUGUGCUACAUUAUAACUACACUAAAAGGAAAUAGAGAGGAAAGUUCUCAGAAGGCUAGCUAAGCUAAGAAUAGAAAAGAAUGAAUAACAGAGGAGCUCUCUGUGACUGUCCCAGAGAGAGCUCAGUCCUUGAUUAGCCAUUAAUUAUACACAUCCUUCAGCCAGUCACAGGUGCACCUGUUGCCUUCCACAGCAGCAGAUAACCAUUGUUUGCAUUCUUUUUCUGGGGCCUCAGCUUCCCAGAAGGGAAAAUCCUAAAGAAAGGAUUUUAAUGAAAAGAUGUCUGUGACGGUAUGAGAGCUGGGAUCCUUUGACUUCCUCAGUGGACUUAAUUUUCUGUUUCUCCUCUCUUUCAGGGCAGGCAAAAUCACCAAACUCCUCCCAUCUUUGCCAAAAGCUUUGGUGUUUGGGCAGCCAAAGGCGAGAGGCCUCAGCACCAGGGUUGUGGGGUCAGCAGGAACAAGGGCAGUGUGGUGCCAGAGCUGGGGCCCAUCAGGCUGGAUUUCCCUCUGGGAAAGCACAACAGUCUCUGGGCUCAGGUGAGUUUCCUGCAAGUGCUUAGAAGAGCAAUCCAGGGAAAAGGGAGUUCAGGAAUUGCACCUGCUGCUGGGAGCAAUGCCUCAGGCUUGUUAGUUUGUGUCUGUGAGAAGUGGGCUUUGGGCUGGAGAGGGGCUCUUGGGAACAAAAGAUGGAGUCAAUCCUCUCCAGGGAUGUGCAGUGAAGGACUGAGUGGGAGGGAAGGGGAGUAUUUAGAAAGGAUAUCAGCAUUUCACCCAAAAUUGGGGUGGAGCACUGAUGGGGGUGGUUGGGUUUGCUCUGGGCCUUGUUAUUCCUUGAGCAAUUUUUCAGUUCUGUUGCAUGAUUUAUUGUCCAGUAUCUUUCUACCCAAAACUGACAGAAAUUUAGGUUCAGGAUUAGAACUUAGCUCCAUUCACUGCAAAAUCUUGCCA